AAUAUUGGACAAUGGGGGCAACCCUGACGCAUCCAUGCCGCGUGGGUGAAGAAGGUCUUCGGAUUGUAAAGUACUUUAAGUAGGGAGGAAGGCCUUUAGGUUAAUACCUUGAAGUUUUGACGUUACCACCUGAAUAAGCACCGGCUAACUCUGUGCCAGCAGCCGCGGUAAUACAGAGGUUGCAAGCGUUAAUCGGAAUUACUGGGCGUAAGGGGAGCGUAGGUGGUUCAGGAAGAUGGGUGUGAAACCCCCGGGCUUAACCUGGGAACUGCUUUCAUAACUGCUGAGCUAGAGGACGGUAGAGGGUAGUGGAAUUUCCUGUGUAGCGGUGAAAUGCGUAGAUAUAGGAAAGAACACCAGCGGCGAAGGCGACUACCUGGACUGAUACUGACACUGAGGUGCGAAAGCGUGGGGAGCAAAC
Molecule: ribosomal RNA, 421 nt
Filed under: uncultured bacterium
Lineage: Bacteria
Description: partial 16S ribosomal RNA
Rfam family: Bacterial small subunit ribosomal RNA
Source: RNAcentral